This 811-nucleotide ribosomal RNA is filed under the name Bacillus sp. (in: firmicutes). RNAcentral describes it as "bacterial SSU rRNA". It matches the Rfam family "Bacterial small subunit ribosomal RNA", at positions 60 to 853 of the family's 1533-position model. The record is from RNAcentral. Lineage: Bacteria; Bacillati; Bacillota; Bacilli; Caryophanales; Bacillaceae.
AGUCGAGCGGACAGAAGGGAGCUUGCUCCCGGAUGUUAGCGGCGGACGGGUGAGUAACACGUGGGUAACCUGCCUGUAAGACUGGGAUAACUCCGGGAAACCGGAGCUAAUACCGGAUAGUUCCUUGAACCGCAUGGUUCAAGGAUGAAAGACGGUUUCGGCUGUCACUUGCAGAUGGACCCGCGGCGCAUUAGCUAGUUGGUGGGGUAAUGGCUCACCAAGGCGACGAUGCGUAGCCGACCUGAGAGGGUGAUCGGCCACACUGGGACUGAGACACGGCCCAGACUCCUACGGGAGGCAGCAGUAGGGAAUCUUCCGCAAUGGACGAAAGUCUGACGGAGCAACGCCGCGUGAGUGAUGAAGGUUUUCGGAUCGUAAAGCUCUGUUGUUAGGGAAGAACAAGUGCGAGAGUAACUGCUCGCACCUUGACGGUACCUAACCAGAAAGCCACGGCUAACUACGUGCCAGCAGCCGCGGUAAUACGUAGGUGGCAAGCGUUGUCCGGAAUUAUUGGGCGUAAAGGGCUCGCAGGCGGUUUCUUAAGUCUGAUGUGAAAGCCCCCGGCUCAACCGGGGAGGGUCAUUGGAAACUGGGAAACUUGAGUGCAGAAGAGGAGAGUGGAAUUCCACGUGUAGCGGUGAAAUGCGUAGAGAUGUGGAGGAACACCAGUGGCGAAGGCGACUCUCUGGUCUGUAACUGACGCUGAGGAGCGAAAGCGUGGGGAGCGAACAGGAUUAGAUACCCUGGUAGUCCACGCCGUAAACGAUGAGUGCUAAGUGUUAGGGGGUUUCCGCCCCUUAGUGCUGCAGCU